AACGACGAAGCCGAAAAUCGUUAAGAGUAGGCA
This 33-nucleotide non-coding RNA is filed under the name unclassified sequences. Its description in RNAcentral is "DUF805b RNA". It matches the Rfam family "DUF805b RNA". Rfam says of the family: Bacteroidetes, Chlorobi (1 example), Proteobacteria. Lineage (Flavobacteria) The record is from RNAcentral.